UGAUACUCUGGGGCCUCCAAGAAUUGCAGAGAAAAAUCAAACUGAUCAAUCUUUCUCUCAUUGAAAUCACUGGUAGAUUUACUGUGAAAAGAUCGAAUAGCCUGUGAAAAGAUCGAAUAGCAUCACUGGGAAAGAUCAAGAAGAAGAAGAAGAAAACAUAAAAGAUUGUGCGAGAAAACAUUAGGAAUUGAGGAGAGAGAUGAAGAUGCUG
RNAcentral lists this unclassified non-coding RNA (211 nucleotides) under Hevea brasiliensis (rubber tree). Lineage: Eukaryota; Viridiplantae; Streptophyta; Magnoliopsida; Malpighiales; Euphorbiaceae. The record is from RNAcentral.